AUGGAAGUGAGAAAUAGAUUUAAGGGCCUAGAUCUGAUAGAUAAAGUACCUGAUGAACUAUGGACAGAGGUUCGUGACAUUGUACAGGAGACAGGGAUCAAGACCAUCCCCAUGGAAAAGAAAUGCAAAAAAGCAAAAUGGCUGUCUGAGGAGGCCUUACAAAUAGCUGUGAAAAGAAGAGAAGCAAAAAGCAAAGGAGAAAAGGAAAGAUAUAAACAUCUGAAUGCAGAGUUCCAAAGAAUAGCAAGAAGAGAUAAGAAAGCCUUCUUCAGCGAUCAAUGCAAAGAAAUAGAAGAAAACAACAGAAUGGGAAAGACUAGGGACCUCUUCAAGAAAAUCAGAGAUACCAAAGGAAAUUUUCACGCAAAGAUGGGCUCGAUAAAAGACAGAAAUGGUAUGGACCUAACAGAAGCAGAAGAUAUUAAGAUGAGGUGGCAAGAAUACACAGAAGAACUGUACAAAAAAGAUCUUCACGACCAAGAUAAUCACAGUGGUGUGAUCACUGACCUAGAGCCAGACAUCCUGGAAUGUGAAGUCAAGUGGGCCUUAGGAAGCAUCACUAUGAACAAAGCUAGUGGAGGUGAUGGAAUUCCAGUUGAGCUAUUCCAAAUCCUGAAAGAUGAUGCUGUGAAAGUGCUGCACUCAAUAUGCCAGCAAAUUUGGAAAACUCAGCAGUGGCCACAGGACUGGAAAAGGUCAGUUUUCAUUCCAAUCCCAAAGAAAGGCAAUGCCAAAGAAUGCUCAAACUACUGCACAAUUGCACUCAUCUCACACACUACUAAAGUAAUGCUCAAAAUUCUCCAAGCCAGGAUUCAGCAACAUGUGAACCAUGAACUUCUGACGUUCAAGCUGGUUUUAGAAAAGGCAGAGGAACCAGAGAUCAAAUUGCCAACAUCUGCUGGAUCAUGGAAAAAGCAAGAGAGUUCCAGAAAAACAUCUAUUUCUGUUUUAUUGACUAUGCCAAAACCUUUGACUGUGUGGAUCACAAUAAACUGUGGAAAAUUCUGA
RNAcentral lists this long non-coding RNA (1008 nucleotides) under Bos indicus x Bos taurus (hybrid cattle). Its description in RNAcentral is "lncRNA (ENSBIXG00000019309.1)". Lineage: Eukaryota; Metazoa; Chordata; Mammalia; Artiodactyla; Bovidae. The record is from RNAcentral.